GAUGAACGCUGGCGGCGUGCCUAAUACAUGCAAGUCGAGCGAACAGACGAGGAGCUUGCUCCUCUGACGUUAGCGGCGGACGGGUGAGUAACACGUGGAUAACCUACCUAUAAGACUGGGAUAACUUCGGGAAACCGGAGCUAAUACCGGAUAAUAUAUUGAACCGCAUGGGUCAAUAGUGAAAGACGGUUUUGCUGUCACGUAUAGAUGGAUCCGCGCCGCAUUAGCUAGUUGGUAAGGUAACGGCUUACCAAGGCAACGAUGCGUAGCCGACCUGAGAGGGUGAUCGGCCACACUGGAAGUGAGACACGGUCCAGACUCCUACGGGAGGCAGCAGUAGGGAAUCUUCCGCAAUGGGCGAAAGCCUGACGGAGCAACGCCGCGUGAGUGAUGAAGGUCUUCGGAUCGUAAAACUCUGUUAUUAGGGAAGAACAAAUGUGUAAGUAACUAUGCACGUCUUGACGGUACCUAAUCAGAAAGCCACGGCUAACUCCGUG
RNAcentral lists this ribosomal RNA (497 nucleotides) under uncultured bacterium. RNAcentral describes it as "partial 16S ribosomal RNA". It matches the Rfam family "Bacterial small subunit ribosomal RNA", at positions 28 to 507 of the family's 1533-position model. The record is from RNAcentral.